GACCCAUUAUCACAAUCUCGCGGUUGCGUGCCCUAAUGCCUGCCAAGGUUGCUAAUUCAAAAACGCAGACGCUUCGUGAUGGGCGAAAGCUAGGUGUUGAAAAGCUUGUAGAACUUGUUUUCAUCGGACGUCCACGAACGCUGAGCUUUUCUCACCGCUCGCUGGGAAGCCUGCGGCAUCCGUACUCGAGUCUAGUUUGCGAGACGUCUGCUGCUCGUGCCUCUACUCAAGACAAAAUUACGUACUUAUUGGAGGCCUUUUCGGAGGCCAAAGCCGAAAAGAAAGCCUGGAUGCGCGUGGAGCGCAUUUUCGAUUCUAUGCUCGGAGAUGCCUUGAUGGAGAAAAUGAAGCUCGGACUUUUGCUCUCCUCUGAGCUUUUACAGCGCUUUGAAGUGCUGUGGAUCCGCCUUGGUGGUGCCAGCGGCGACAUUAUUUCCGAAGAUACCUACAAGCAAUUUCACCAGCAACUGUAUUUCACUCUUUUCGGAAUUGAGCAGAUGACAUUAUUGCCGGCGACGAUGCAGUUAUUCUGGAAGACUAUCAGUACGAUUCACAGGGCAAAAGUGGGAUUGAGUUCGGCAGCUUUGCCCAUUCGAUGCUCGAAUUAGCUGAUAACUGGGCUGGAAGUCGUGAGGUGGCGGAUUAUGUUGCAUUCAUGGACAAAAUUGUUGAGUGCUACCCAGACAGCACAGUGCAGCCACGCAAAGCGCAUGCGCCAGACGAGUUGACGCUGAGCAAGGAAGCUUUCUUCCGGGGUGGAGUGGUGGUUCCCAGGGUGGAGGGCGAACAAACUGUUUACCAUAGAAUAACUCUUUAGCUCUCGCCGUUUUUGGUGGCAUUUUCACGGAUGUAAACUAUUUGGAAAAGUAACAGCAUCUAGUUCUUUGUUUUUCGCAGGCAGUGCUCAGUAGUUCCCUUUUGACACUUACCGUUUUGUGACUGUAAUAAUCUUCUCUGCUGUUUUGUCGAGAUGCACAAAUG
RNAcentral lists this unclassified non-coding RNA (981 nucleotides) under Leishmania donovani. RNAcentral describes it as "gene:LdHU3.32.0660(CDS-product:hypothetical_prote in_conserved)". The record is from RNAcentral. Lineage: Eukaryota; Euglenozoa; Kinetoplastea; Trypanosomatida; Trypanosomatidae.